This is a long non-coding RNA of Suricata suricatta (meerkat), 1464 nucleotides long. RefSeq lists it as uncharacterized. NCBI's taxonomy places the organism in Eukaryota, Metazoa, Chordata, Mammalia, Carnivora, Herpestidae. The record is from RefSeq and is a predicted model, not a curated record. The transcript is spliced from 6 exons.
CCGGAGGAAGGUGGUGGGGCUGGGGAGGGGCAGGCGGGCGAACUGCCGGGGCGAGCGCCGAGACCGGCCUGGUCCUCCAGGCCGGCUUCCGCGGAGCCGGCGGCCGGGCCGGUACACUCACCCUGGCGCUCGCUGGAGCCGGGGGCCGCCGCCCUGCAGCGCAGACGGAGCCGGCACAGGGAGGACCAGCUACAUCUGUGGGCCGCAGCGGCGGCGGCCAAGCCCGGCAACAUCCUGGCGGGGCGACGGCCCCUACUCGGACUCCACCUCCUGCCUCAGCGACGCCGCCGGCAACCACUGACUCCAUAGACCGGACACCUGCUAAUACUCACGCCUGCGCCGCCACAGGCGGCCCCAAUGACCGGGAAAUGCUAGGAAAGCCUUGAAGUGACGGGACUUUUUCGGGCGUCUGCCUGCUCUUAUUUCCUGAGUUCGAAACCUGGGUCGUGCUGUUGGAAAUGGGAAGAGAGGUGGGAAGGAAGGAUGGUGGCCUACUUAACCUCUCUCUCCGGAGCCUUCUUGGAUGAGCCCAGCGGCGGCUAGCGUGCCCAACUCAUUACUUUUCGAACCUGGCUCCAGUAUGUCGUUCUUUUCUAACUCACCAUUGUGUAGCCAGAGUACAUGAAGGCAGGUGCUUGCCUUACUAACCUGAACCUCGGAUUCUCGUGUGCAAUGUAAUAAAGUUAAGGCUUUCAUUUGUUCAAGAAGGGAAAAGGGAGAUGUGCAGACGUGGUUAGGGGAGUCAGUCUGCUUCUAGAGAGACCGGAACGAUAUUCACGGUGUUGACCUCUGACGUGCUCAUUCAGAUCUUAGCUCAAACUCAAGAGAGACGCUCCUUGACCACGCGGGCUGGAGUGGGGCUGGUUAUUCUCCACCCUGUUGCCUUGUAGACUCCUCUUCAAAGCGCUCAUCACUAUUGGAAAGUAUCUGUGGAGUUAUUUUUUUAUUUUUUCUCAACAGAGAAAAGCUGCUGAGUGAUCUUCCCAAGCGAGGAUGAGCCAGAACAUGGAAAUCAGACUCAGGUCCUCUGACUCCAGAUCUGCAUUAGGUUCACCCUUUACCACUUCCAUCCAAGAAUAAGCAGAAUUUCUCCAAUGUUGACCGUAUUCCUGGGUCCUCGCUCUUCUCUCCCGCCAUGCACUCCGGGCUCCUUUCCUCAGAGCAUGGCAGGAGAUCCACUUAGAAGAGAAUCAUUACUGAUAACAACAACAACAACAUGUUUACUCACUAGAGAAGUGUAUCUCCUGUUAUCCCUGCUCAAAACUUUGAAGACCUGUGACAAGUGUCUACAAUGACCUUCUGAGAACAGACACCGAACACAGGCAUAUGCUCAAUCUUCAGUUACAUUCCUUGCAAAAGACGUCUGAGCUGCUGCAACUGUCUAUGAAAAUUCAAGCCUAAGAAACCGAGAGAACUGGCAGUCAAGAAUCUCGUCUAGGUAACUCUAUAAACUACUUUGAUACU